UUAUUUUUUUUAUUUUUAUUUUAUACAGAGAAGGGGAAAUCCCCGAAAACAACAACAAGGCAGCCUCACCUGGAGGGUCUUGAAGAAAAAGCACAUCUUCAUCUCCACUUACAGCAAUAUUGGCAAGCUUAUCAGCUACCAAAAUUGAUUAUAAGCAAAGGUGAUACAUAAACAAAGAUAGAUAUCAAAUAAGGGGGCAAAAUACAGAGAGGAAGAUAAUAAUUUCAGGCUAAGAUAUCCUCUAUAGGUUUGGCCUCCAAUUUGGCUUUCUCAACGUCCUGGAAUGCUUGUUCCUUAGCCAACUUCUUAAGCCUGGCUAGCUCAAGG
This 327-nucleotide unclassified non-coding RNA is filed under the name Hevea brasiliensis (rubber tree). The record is from RNAcentral. Lineage: Eukaryota; Viridiplantae; Streptophyta; Magnoliopsida; Malpighiales; Euphorbiaceae.